RNAcentral lists this ribosomal RNA (253 nucleotides) under uncultured bacterium. RNAcentral's name for it is "partial 16S ribosomal RNA". It matches the Rfam family "Bacterial small subunit ribosomal RNA", at positions 524 to 776 of the family's 1533-position model. The record is from RNAcentral.
UACGUAGGGGGCAAGCGUUAUCCGGAUUUACUGGGUGUAAAGGGAGCGUAGACGGAAUUGCAAGUCUGAUGUGAAAAUCCGGGGCCCAACCCCGGAAGUGCAUUGGAAACUGUAUUUCUAGAGUGUCGGAGAGGCAAGUGGAAUUCCUGGUGUAGCGGUGAAAUGCGUAGAUAUCAGGAGGAACACCAGUGGCGAAGGCGGCUUGCUGGACGAUGACUGACGUUGGGGCUCGAAAGCGUGGGGAGCAAACAGG